GGUGGCUCAGUGAUACAGUGCUUGCCUUAGAUGCAUGAGGCCCUGGGUUCGAUUCUCAGCACCA
This 64-nucleotide transfer RNA is filed under the name Dipodomys ordii (Ord's kangaroo rat). It matches the Rfam family "tRNA". Rfam says of the family: Transfer RNA (tRNA) molecules are approximately 80 nucleotides in length. Their secondary structure includes four short double-helical elements and three loops (D, anti-codon, and T loops). Lineage: Eukaryota; Metazoa; Chordata; Mammalia; Rodentia; Heteromyidae. The record is from Rfam by way of RNAcentral.